UGAACGCUGGCGGCGUGCUUAAUACAUGCAAGUCGAACGAAGAUGUUCUUGAGUUUACUCGAGAGCUCUUAGUGGCGAACGGGUGAGUAACGCGUUGGUGACCUGCCCUAAAGAAGGGAACAACCUCGGGAAACUGAGACUAAUACCCUAUGUGCUUCUUAAGAUUAGAUGCUUUUGAAGUAAAGGUUCUGUGGACGAAAGGACACAGUGCCGCUUUAGGAGGGGCCUGCGUACCAUCAGCUAGUUGGUAGGGUAAUGGCCUACCAAGGCGAUGACGGUUAGGGGACCUGAGAGGGUGACCCCCCACACUAGCACUGAAACACGGGCUAGACACCUACGGGUGGCAGCAGUAGGGAAUCUUGCACAAUCGACGAAAGUCUGAUGCAGCAACGCCGCGUGUGCGAUGAAGGCCUUCGGGUUGUAAAGCACUUUUCUGAGGGAAGAGAAAGGACUGUACCUCAGGAAUAAGUCUCGGCUAACUAC
This 483-nucleotide ribosomal RNA is filed under the name uncultured bacterium. RNAcentral describes it as "bacterial SSU rRNA". It matches the Rfam family "Bacterial small subunit ribosomal RNA", at positions 30 to 504 of the family's 1533-position model. The record is from RNAcentral.